UAAUUGACAGGUGAUGAAUCCAUACAACA
Molecule: non-coding RNA, 29 nt
Filed under: Mus musculus (house mouse)
Lineage: Eukaryota; Metazoa; Chordata; Mammalia; Rodentia; Muridae
Source: RNAcentral